UUCACCAAGAUUGAGUUGAUGUUAUCAUCAUGUGCUACGAAGGAAUCAACACAUUUUGUAUCAGAGACUCUCCAAGCUUUCACUGUUCUGUCAUGAGAGCCAGAGUAUAAUAGCCCUUCUGAGUGGUAAUAAGCCAAACAGUCCUUGUGUGUGGAGAAAAGCAUGUUGCUGUAAGCCAGAAUGGCUCUGACAUCGCCAUAGCUUGCUCUGAGGUGCCCUCUGUCCAUGCAAUCUGGCUGCUUCCAAACACGAAUCCUGCUGCUGUUGGAGCCUGUGAAGAUUAAGCCCUUGGAAGUGGAGAUGGCGUAGAUGUUACCUUCAGGGAUGAAACCAGAAAAAUUGGGUAAGAGUACGUAAGUUUAACACAUUUUCACCUCAAUAAAAUCAAGAAUCACUAAAUAUAUGAUCUAAUGUAAAAACUGGACUCAAUUUCCUGCAGUCAGAGCAUCAUGUUUCACUUAAGUCACGGGCUCUGGUUCAAAUAAGUUGAUUAAGAUCGACUUGAAUUAAUUUCAAGUGAUAAAUACAACAUUUGAAUACUACUCUAUUGAAAAAAUUAUUUUCUCUAGGGUACUAGUUUCAGCCCCGGUUACCUUCGUGGCGGUGGAGGGAGGCGAUGCAUUGGUAAAGCAAUGAAGGGGAAGGUGAUUGGAGAGGGGAAAGAGUCCAUGGUGAUUCAGGACAAGGGGUUGGUGACAUCGUUGGUGACACCAUAGGAAACAUUGUUGUACCAUCAGAAGUGGAAGGCCUUGGUGAAGUGAACUGAAGAUCUUGAUCACUUGUUUCUAUGUGGGUUUGGACACGAAGGUGAAUGUUGGGGGAUUGUUGUUCUGUCAUGGUUUCUGUGUCCAUCAAGCUAUGGAGGGAUCGAUUGCCAUAGGAAUCCAUGGCAUGAGAAUGAUGGUUUUGAUUAAAAGAAACUAGUGAUCAAUGAUCAUAGGGACUUUAGGUUGGGGUUAUAAACAAAUGUAAAGAGGGUUUGGCUGAUUGGUGGUGUAUUUAUGAAGGUAUAUAAAUGCUUUAUCAACUGUACGUUGAAUGUUUUCAUGAAUUAUCCUGCUACUAGGACCUUUGAAUC
This is a long non-coding RNA of Lotus japonicus, 1078 nucleotides long. RefSeq lists it as uncharacterized. NCBI's taxonomy places the organism in Eukaryota, Viridiplantae, Streptophyta, Magnoliopsida, Fabales, Fabaceae. The transcript has 2 exons. The record is from RefSeq and is a predicted model, not a curated record.